Molecule: ribosomal RNA, 927 nt
Filed under: Wolfiporia hoelen
Lineage: Eukaryota; Fungi; Basidiomycota; Agaricomycetes; Polyporales; Phaeolaceae
Description: Pachyma hoelen partial large subunit ribosomal RNA
Source: RNAcentral
UUCCCCUAGUAACUGCGAGUGAAGAGGGAAGAGCUCACAUUUAAAAUCUGGCGGUCUGGCGGCCGUCCGAGUUGUAGCCUGGAGAAGCGUCCUCUGCGCCGGACCCGUGUACAAGUCUCCUGGAACGGAGCGUCGUARAGGGUGAUAAUCCCGUCGUCGACACGGACCUCCGGUUAGCUAUGCGAGGCGCUCUCGAAGAGUCGAGUUGUUUGGGAAUGCAGCUCAAAGUGGGUGGUGAAUUCCAUCUAAAGCUAAAUACAGGCGAGAGACCGAUAGCGGACAAGUACCGUGAGGGAAAGAUGAAAAGCACUCUGGAAAGAGAGUUAAACAGCACGUGAAAUCGCUGAGAGGGAAACGCUUGAAGUCAGUCGCGUCGGCGUUAGGAGGUCAGCCUUCCCGGGAUAAUAACCGUGGGGCGCACUCUCCCGUCGACGGGCCAGCAUCGAUUUCGACCGCCGGAGAAGGGCUCGGGGAACGUGGCACCUCCGGGUGUGUUAUAGCCCCCUGUCGUAUGCGGCGGUCGGGAUCGAGGUUUUUACAUGUUCGCAGCACGCCUUUUUGGCCGGGGCCGUUCGCGGUCCACGUCCGUGCUUAGGAUGCUGGCGUAAUGGCUUUAAACGACCCGUCUUGAAACACGGACCAAGGAGUCCAACUCGCCUGCGAGUGUUUGGGUGGAAAACCCGAGCGCGUAACGAAAGUGAAAGGUCGAGAACCCCUUUGACCGGGGGGGCACCGACGCCCGGGCCCUUUCAACCCCCUCGAAAGGGGGGGCCCUGGACCCGCGGUAGAGCAUGCGUGUUGGGACCCGAAAGAUGGUGAACUAUGCCUGAAUAGGGUGAAGCCAGGGGAAACCCUGGUGGAGGCUCGUAGCGAUUCUGACGUGCAAAUCGAUCGUCGAAUUUGGGCAUAGGGGCGAAAGACUAAUCG